GACGAACGCUGGCGGCGUGCCUAACACAUGCAAGUCGAACGGAGUUUCCAGCAAUGGAUUCUUAGUGGCGAACGGGUGAGUAACGCGUAGACAACCUACCUUCGAGAUGGGACAACACUGCGAAAGUGGUGCUAAUACCGAAUGUUGUAACGAGCAUGCAUAUGCUUGUUACUAAAGAUGGCCUCUAUUUAUAAGCUAUCGCUAGAAGAUGGGUCUGCGUCUGAUUAGCUAGUUGGUGAGGUAAUGGCUCACCAAGGCGACGAUCAGUAGCCGGUCUGAGAGGAUGAACGGCCACACUGGGACUGAGACACGGCCCAGACUCCUACGGGAGGCAGCAGUGGGGAAUCUUCCGCAAUGGACGAAAGUCUGACGGAGCAACGCCGCGUGAGUGAAGAAGGUUUUCGGAUCGUAAAACUCUGUUUUCAGGGACGAAUGUGCAGCUUGUAAAUAAUGAGUUGUAAUGACGGUACCUGAGUAGAAAGCCACGGCUAACUACGUGCCAGCCGCCGCGGUAA
Molecule: ribosomal RNA, 515 nt
Filed under: uncultured bacterium
Lineage: Bacteria
Description: partial 16S ribosomal RNA
Rfam family: Bacterial small subunit ribosomal RNA
Source: RNAcentral